UGGGGAAUUUUGGACAAUGGGCGCAAGCNUGAUCCAGCCAUGCCGCGUGUCUGAAGAAGGCCUUCGGGUUGUAAAGGACUUUUGUCAGGGAAGAAAAGGCUGUUGCUAAUAUCAGCGGCUGAUGACGGUACCUGAAGAAUAAGCACCGGCUAACUACGUGCCAGCAGCCGCGGUAAUACGUAGGGUGCAAGCGUUAAUCGGAAUUACUGGGCGUAAAGCGAGCGCAGACGGUUACUUAAGCAGGAUGUGAAAUCCCCGGGCUCAACCUGGGAACUGCGUUCUGAACUGGGUGACUAGAGUGUGUCAGAGGGAGGUAGAAUUCCACGUGUAGCAGUGAAAUGCGUAGAGAUGUGGAGGAAUACCGAUGGCGAAGGCAGCCUCCUGGGAUAACACUGACGUUCAUGCUCGAAAGCGUGGGUAGCAAACAGGAUUAGAUACCCUGGUAGUCCACGCCCUAAACGAUGUCAAUUAGCUGUUGGGCAACUUGAUUGUUCAGUAGCGUAGCUAACGCGUGAAAUUGACCGCCUGGGGAGUACGGUCGCAAGAUUA
This 549-nucleotide ribosomal RNA is filed under the name uncultured bacterium. RNAcentral describes it as "bacterial SSU rRNA". It matches the Rfam family "Bacterial small subunit ribosomal RNA", at positions 355 to 896 of the family's 1533-position model. The record is from RNAcentral.